GCGGGUAUCGUAUAACGGUAGUACUCUAGCCUUCCAAGCUGGAGGCAGGGGUCCGACUCCCCUUACCCGCUCCA
Molecule: transfer RNA, 74 nt
Filed under: Candidatus Doudnaibacteriota bacterium
Lineage: Bacteria; Candidatus Doudnaibacteriota
Description: Candidatus Doudnabacteria bacterium tRNA-Gly
Rfam family: tRNA
About the family: Transfer RNA (tRNA) molecules are approximately 80 nucleotides in length. Their secondary structure includes four short double-helical elements and three loops (D, anti-codon, and T loops).
Source: RNAcentral